AUACGGAGGAUGCGAGCGUUAUCCGGAUUUAUUAGGUUUAAAGGGUGUGUAGGCGGUAUUUUAAGUCAGUGGUGAAAUCUCGGAGCUUAACUUCGAAACUGCCAUUGAUACUGGAAUACUUGAGUAUAGUUGAGGUAGGCGGAAUAUGUAAUGUAGCGGUGAAAUGCAUAGAUAUUACAUAGAACACCGAUUGCGAAGGCAGCUUACUAAACUAUUACUGACGCUGAUGCACGAAAGCGUGGGGAGCGAACAGGAUUAGAAACCCUUGUAGUCC
This 274-nucleotide ribosomal RNA is filed under the name uncultured bacterium. RNAcentral describes it as "partial 16S ribosomal RNA". It matches the Rfam family "Bacterial small subunit ribosomal RNA", at positions 523 to 796 of the family's 1533-position model. The record is from RNAcentral.